AUGGUCGCCACGUCGAUCCCCUUCGCUUAUAACUGCGCCAACGCGAACCCUAGGUUGCCCUCGUCCAUUCCCCCCUCUUUCCCCGUCGCCCCCUUCUUUCGCUCGAAUUCGAGCUUGGAAACUCUCACGGUGACCGUGCUCGUCAUCGUCAUUACCGCGACCACCGUCGUCGCCUUCGUGUGGGAGGACGUCCAGGAGGCCCGCCACGGACGUCUUCAUCUGUCCCGAGCACGGAACAGAGCCGAGGUGGCCCGUGCGCUCGCCAUCGAGGCAGUCUUCGUUUGUACGUCGUCGUCAUCCGUCAUCGAUUACCGCCGUUCCGGUCAACCCCGACUCUCCCCGACCUCACCAUCGGCAUCACAGAGUCAGAGGAUCCCGAGGAUGUUUCUUCAUGGAGUUCGGCUUCGAGGAGUAGUUAGGAGGUCCCAGGGAGGAGGCCUCGCCUUUUCGAUCGUUGCUACUUUUGUGUUAGCCUUCUUAAGGCAAACUUGCUUCACGUAUGUCUGUACUCAGAUAUUAUUGCUUCCGCUGACUCUUGUGCAUUCGAGCUUAUGUAUUCGAGCCCUCGAGGCCCCUGGCUUGUAA
Molecule: ribosomal RNA, 585 nt
Filed under: Triticum aestivum (bread wheat)
Lineage: Eukaryota; Viridiplantae; Streptophyta; Magnoliopsida; Poales; Poaceae
Description: partial small subunit ribosomal RNA
Source: RNAcentral